Molecule: ribosomal RNA, 492 nt
Filed under: Klebsiella pneumoniae
Lineage: Bacteria; Pseudomonadati; Pseudomonadota; Gammaproteobacteria; Enterobacterales; Enterobacteriaceae
Description: bacterial SSU rRNA
Rfam family: Bacterial small subunit ribosomal RNA
Source: RNAcentral
UUUGAUCAUGGCUCAGAUUGAACGCUGGCGGCAGGCCUAACACAUGCAAGUCGAGCGGUAGCACAGAGAGCUUGCUCUCGGGUGACGAGCGGCGGACGGGUGAGUAAUGUCUGGGAAACUGCCUGAUGGAGGGGGAUAACUACUGGAAACGGUAGCUAAUACCGCAUAACGUCGCAAGACCAAAGUGGGGGACCUUCGGGCCUCAUGCCAUCAGAUGUGCCCAGAUGGGAUUAGCUAGUAGGUGGGGUAACGGCUCACCUAGGCGACGAUCCCUAGCUGGUCUGAGAGGAUGACCAGCCACACUGGAACUGAGACACGGUCCAGACUCCUACGGGAGGCAGCAGUGGGGAAUAUUGCACAAUGGGCGCAAGCCUGAUGCAGCCAUGCCGCGUGUGUGAAGAAGGCCUUCGGGUUGUAAAGCACUUUCAGCGGGGAGGAAGGCGAUAAGGUUAAUAACCUUGUCGAUUGACGUACCCGCAGAAGAAGCACCGG